AUUGANCGCUGGCGGAAUGCUUUACACAUGCAAGUCGAACGGCAGCACGGGUGCUUGCACCUGGUGGCGAGUGGCGAACGGGUGAGUAAUAUAUCGGAACGUAUCCAAUAAUGGGGGAUAACGAGUCGAAAGAUUCGCUAAUACCGCAUACGCCCUACGGGGGAAAGCAGGGGAUCUUCGGACCUUGCGUUAAUGGAGCGGCCGAUAUCUGAUUAGCUAGUUGGUGGGGUAAAAGCCCACCAAGGCGACGAUCAGUAGCUGGUCUGAGAGGACGACCAGCCACACUGGAACUGAGACACGGUCCAGACUCCUACGGGAGGCAGCAGUGGGGAAUUUUGGACAAUGGGCGAAAGCCUGAUCCAGCCAUUCCGCGUGAGUGAAGAAGGCCUUCGGGUUGUAAAGCUCUUUCGCAAGGGAAGAAAACUUACCUUCUAAUAAAGGGUGAGGAUGACGGUACCUUGAUAAGAAGCACCGGCUAACUACGUGCCAGCAGCCGCGGUAAUACGUAGGGUGCGAGCGUUAAUCGGAAUUACUGGGCGUAAAGCGUGCGCAGGCGGUUUUGUAAGUCAGAUGUGAAAUCCCCGGGCUCAACCUGGGAACUGCGUUUGAAACUACAAGACUAGAAUAUGUCAGAGGGGGGUAGAAUUCCACGUGUAGCAGUGAAAUGCGUAGAGAUGUGGAGGAAUACCAAUGGCGAAGCAGCCCCCUGGG
Molecule: ribosomal RNA, 711 nt
Filed under: uncultured bacterium
Lineage: Bacteria
Description: bacterial SSU rRNA
Rfam family: Bacterial small subunit ribosomal RNA
Source: RNAcentral